GUGGGGAAUAUUGGACAAUGGGCGCAAGCCUGAUCCAGCCAUGCCGCGUGAGUGAUGAAGGCCUUAGGGUUGUAAAGCUCUUUCAGUGGGGACGAUAAUGACGGUACCCACAGAAGAAGCCCCGGCUAACUUCGUGCCAGCAGCCGCGGUAAUACGAAGGGGGCUAGCGUUGUUCGGAUUUACUGGGCGUAAAGCGCACGUAGGCGGAUCGUUAAGUCGGGGGUGAAAUCCUGGAGCUCAACUCCAGGACUGCCUUCGAUACUGGCGAUCUUGAGUCCGGAAGAGGUGAGUGGAACUCCUAGUGUAGAGGUGGAAUUCGUAGAUAUUAGGAAGAACACCAGUGGCGAAGGCGGCUCACUGGUCCGGUACUGACGCUGAGGUGCGAAAGCGUGGGGAGCAAACAGGAUUAGAAACCCCUGUAGUCC
Molecule: ribosomal RNA, 425 nt
Filed under: uncultured bacterium
Lineage: Bacteria
Description: partial 16S ribosomal RNA
Rfam family: Bacterial small subunit ribosomal RNA
Source: RNAcentral